Molecule: long non-coding RNA, 1029 nt
Organism: Lolium perenne
Lineage: Eukaryota; Viridiplantae; Streptophyta; Magnoliopsida; Poales; Poaceae
Source: RefSeq, a predicted model, not a curated record
CCACCAUCAGGAACGCACGUCCUACACCCCACCGUCCCCUCUCCAAAACCUAGCCGCCUCCCGCUGCUCCUUCAAUACAUAUUUCGGAUGUUUGGGAUGCCUCCAUCGCUGGUGACCAUUGGCGGCCGGAUUGCAGCAUGGUCCUUGUACGAUCCAGAUCUGCGGCAGCGGCGUGAUAAUCCUCCUCGGGGCAGGGACACAUGCGGCCGGGGGAAGCUGCUCGCGAGUCAGGAUGGAUGUGGAUGUAUAUAAAUCCGCGAAGGUGACAUCAUGCGAUGGUGACCCAUGGAGAUUAAGUGGUUCCACAGGUGAGCUAUUCAAUCAUGUCUCUUGCGUGAAAGAUAAUCAGGUUGUAAUCUCAUUGUUGCCGCGGUGCUAUCAUGUCUGCUAUGUCUGAUGCAAUCAAGGACGGCGCGCCCGGACAUGCAUAAAGCACAACUAGUGCAGGCCACUCGUUCUUAUUUCCUUGCGACGUGAGAUCUGUCAAGAAGCAGUGCGUUCUGGAAGGUAAGGUUAAACAAAAUAAAUCCUUUGAUGGUGGUUAUGCAGGACAGCGGGAUCUGUAGAUAUACAGUAUGAUGCACUGUAACAGGCCCCUCACUAAUUACAGUGGUUUAGAAUCUUUCCAGGUAUUAUAAAAAGGAUCUGAAAAAUACAUAAGUUUGGAUGCUUAUUGUAAUAUUCCUUGUUUUUACAGGAAUUAGGCGAAGGGAUUAAGUCAGGGACGUGUGACCCUGAAACGAUGUAACUUUACCCCGAAUGCUGCACAUGAAAAGAUGGAUUCGUUCAGAUCUCAUCGUGGUUUUGUCUUCUACAUUUCCUUGUGUAUUUCCAUCCGUGUGGUGGACACUAUGACUUGUCGCAUACAAGGUCUACAUCAGCAAGACUUCUAUAUUGGGAUAUCAACUCCAAAUAUGCUGGGAUUUUUUUUUAGAAUGAAUAUAUAGGACUUUAGUAUAUCAUAUUUUGAUGCAAGAUUGUACAUUUAAUUUUUCAAACAAUUUUUAUGUAUGAGAUGAUGGUUCCCAU